UGGAAGUGAUGACACAGAGCUAAUUGGGUGUGUUAGGAUGGAGUGUGUGUGUGAGGGAGGGGAUGGAGGCAGGUCUGGGGGUGUCUGGGGAGUGUGUGAUUGAUGUGGUGGGAUGUGAUGUGAUGUGAUGUGAGGGGGCUCUCGUGGGGGCACUGAUGGCAGUGCUGAGCCAGGAGUGCAUCUGAGGCGUGUUGGGCACCUCCGGGGCCCCUCUGCAACACUGCCUGUGAUUAAAGCCCCAAAAAUGCCCACCAGGAGAGCCCCAGGCAGCCCAAAUCUCUGCCAGGGUCACCAGAGAUCCUGUGAUCUGAUCUCA
This is a non-coding RNA of Cinclus cinclus, 316 nucleotides long. RefSeq annotates it as small Cajal body-specific RNA 7. NCBI's taxonomy places the organism in Eukaryota, Metazoa, Chordata, Aves, Passeriformes, Cinclidae. The transcript has a single exon. The record is from RefSeq and is a predicted model, not a curated record.